RNAcentral lists this ribosomal RNA (373 nucleotides) under uncultured organism. RNAcentral describes it as "partial 16S ribosomal RNA". It matches the Rfam family "Bacterial small subunit ribosomal RNA", at positions 527 to 896 of the family's 1533-position model. The record is from RNAcentral.
GUAGAUGGCAAGCGUUGUCCGGAAUUAUUGGGCGUAAAGCGCGCGCAGGUGGGUUCUUUAAGUCUGAUGUGAAAGCCCCCGGGCUCAACCGGGGAGGGUCAUUGGAAACUGGGGAACUUGAGUGCAGGAGAGGAAAGUGGAAUUCCACGUGUAGCGGUGAAAUGCGUAGAUAUGUGGAGGAACACCAGUGGCGAAGGCGACUUUCUGGCCUGUAACUGACACUGAGGCGCGAAAGCGUGGGGAGCAAACAGGAUUAGAUACCCUGGUAGUCCACGCCGUAAACGAUGAGUGCUAAGUGUUGGGGGGUUUCCGCCCCUCAGUGCUGCAGCUAACGCAUUAAGCACUCCGCCUGGGGAGUACGGUCGCAAGACUG